Molecule: ribosomal RNA, 253 nt
Filed under: uncultured bacterium
Lineage: Bacteria
Description: partial 16S ribosomal RNA
Rfam family: Bacterial small subunit ribosomal RNA
Source: RNAcentral
UACGGAGGGUGCGAGCGUUGUCCGGAAUCACUGGGCGUAAAGGGCGCGUAGGCGGCCUGAUAAGUAGGGGGUGAAAUCCUGCGGCUUAACCGCAGGGCUGCCUUCUAAACUGUCAGGCUCGAGCACAGUAGAGGCAGGUGGAAUUCCCGGUGUAGCGGUGGGAUGCGUAGAGAUCGGGAAGAACAUCGGUGGCGAAGGCGGCCUGCUGGGCUGUUGCUGACGCUGAGGCGCGACAGCGUGGGGAGCAAACAGG